AGAGUUUGAUCAUGGCUCAGGAUGAACGCUAGCUACAGGCUUAACACAUGCAAGUCGAGGGGCAUCAGGAAGAAAGCUUGCUUUCUUUGCUGGCGACCGGCGCACGGGUGAGUAACACGUAUCCAACCUGCCCUUUACUCGGGGAUAGCCUUUCGAAAGAAAGAUUAAUACCCGAUAGCAUAAUGAUUCCGCAUGGUUUCAUUAUUAAAGGAUUCCGGUAAAGGAUGGGGAUGCGUUCCAUUAGGUUGUUGGUGAGGUAACGGCCCACCAAGCCUUCGAUGGAUAGGGGUUCUGAGAGGAAGGUCCCCCACAUUGGAACUGAGACACGGUCCAAACUCCUACGGGAGGCAGCAGUGAGGAAUAUUGGUCAAUGGGCGCUAGCCUGAACCAGCCAAGUAGCGUGAAGGAUGAAGGCUCUAUGGGUCGUAAACUUCUUUUAUAUAAGAAUAAAGUGCAGUAUGUAUACUGUUUUGUAUGUAUUAUAUGAAUAAGGAUCGGCUAACUCCGUGCCAGCAGCCGCGGUAAUACGGAGGAUCCGAGCGUUAUCCGGAUUUAUUGGGUUUAAAGGGAGCGUAGGUGGACUGGUAAGUCAGUUGUGAAAGUUUGCGGCUCAACCGUAAAAUUGCAGUUGAUACUGUCAGUCUUGAGUACAGUAGAGGUGGGCGGAAUUCGUGGUGUAGCGGUGAAAUGCUUAGAUAUCACGAAGAACUCCGAUUGCGAAGGCAGCUCACUGGACUGCAACUGACACUGAUGCUCGAAAGUGUGGGUAUCAAACAGGAUUAGAUACCCUGGUAGUCC
This 798-nucleotide ribosomal RNA is filed under the name uncultured bacterium. RNAcentral describes it as "bacterial SSU rRNA". It matches the Rfam family "Bacterial small subunit ribosomal RNA", at positions 8 to 796 of the family's 1533-position model. The record is from RNAcentral.